Molecule: transfer RNA, 88 nt
Filed under: Candidatus Midichloria sp.
Lineage: Bacteria; Pseudomonadati; Pseudomonadota; Alphaproteobacteria; Rickettsiales; Candidatus Midichloriaceae
Description: tRNA-Ser
Rfam family: tRNA
About the family: Transfer RNA (tRNA) molecules are approximately 80 nucleotides in length. Their secondary structure includes four short double-helical elements and three loops (D, anti-codon, and T loops). Further hydrogen bonds mediate the characteristic L-shaped molecular structure. tRNAs have two regions of fundamental functional importance: the anti-codon, which is responsible for specific mRNA codon recognition, and the 3' end, to which the tRNAs corresponding amino acid is attached (by aminoacyl-tRNA synthetases). tRNAs cope with the degeneracy of the genetic code in two manners: having more than one tRNA (with a specific anti-codon) for a particular amino acid; and 'wobble' base-pairing, i.e. permitting non-standard base-pairing at the 3rd anti-codon position.
Source: RNAcentral
GGAUGGAUGGCCGAGCGGUUUAAGGCACCGGUCUUGAAAACCGACGUAUGUGCGCGUACCGUGGGUUCGAAUCCCACUCCAUCCGCCA